This 600-nucleotide ribosomal RNA is filed under the name uncultured Gammaproteobacteria bacterium. RNAcentral's name for it is "bacterial SSU rRNA". It matches the Rfam family "Bacterial small subunit ribosomal RNA", at positions 54 to 656 of the family's 1533-position model. The record is from RNAcentral. Lineage: Bacteria; Pseudomonadati; Pseudomonadota; Gammaproteobacteria.
CAUGCAAGUCGAACGAGAAAGUAUCUUCGGAUACGAGUACAGUGGCGGACGGGUGAGUAAUACAUAGGAAUCUACCCAAUGGAGGGGGAUAGCUCGAGGAAACUCGAAUUAAUACCGCAUAAUCUCCACGGAGUAAAGAGGGCUUCGGCUCUCGCCAUCGGAUGAGCCUAUGCAGGAUUAGCUUGUUGGUGAGGUAAAGGCUUACCAAGGCGACGAUCCUUAGCUGGUUUGAGAGGAUGACCAGCCACAUCGGGACUGAGACACGGCCCGGACUUCUACGGAAGGCAGCAGUAGGGAAUAUUGGACAAUGAGCGAAAGCUUGAUCCAGCCAUGCCGCGUGUGCGAUGACGGCCCUCGGGUUGUAAAGCACUUUAGGUAACGAGGAAAAGUUAGGUGUUAAUACCAUCUAACCUUGACGUUAAUUACAGAAUAAGCACCGGCUAAAUCCGUGCCAGCAGCCGCGGUAAUACGGAUGGUGCAAGCGUUAAUCGGAAUUACUGGGCGUAAAGCGCGCGUAGGUGGCAUAUUAAGUUAGAUGUGAAAUCCCGAGGCUUAACCUCGGAACUGCAUCUAAAACUAAUAAGCUAGAGUACUAGAGAG